Molecule: long non-coding RNA, 624 nt
Filed under: Pogona vitticeps (central bearded dragon)
Lineage: Eukaryota; Metazoa; Chordata; Lepidosauria; Squamata; Agamidae
Description: lncRNA (ENSPVIG00000025242.1)
Source: RNAcentral
AUGCUGCCCCUUGGAGAAGCUGCCCCUCGGGGUGUGUGUGUGUGUGUGUGGGGAGGGUACCGUUGCCUUCGUGCUUUUCCCAUGACAGCCCUUUCCUUUCCUUCCCCCCCCCUUUUCCCCCUCCCCCAUACUAGGCAAAAUGAAGACCCUUUGGAACAGAAAUAUCUUUGCCUCGCUGCAAACAGGGAGUCCCUUGAGGGUGGCGACCCGGAGGUUGUGCAGCAAACCACCCCCCGAGGAUGGGGCGCAGUUGCCCCGGCCCGCAGCCCCAGGGCUUCGGUCAUUCACGCUGCAGCAAGCAAGCUACGUGUGUACAUUGGCUGUGCCUCUAUUGUCCUGACACUCAUUAUGUUCUUCUUUGCAGCUCGUUCUGGGAAACGGGCUAUGGAAGAGGGUCGCAGCUUGAGGGCGGUGCACUUGGAGAAAAAAGCUAAACUCUUGGAGCAGACGAUGGAGAGUAGCUCACCCAAGGUGUAAUCAAGAGGAUUAGAUCAGAAGGCACAAGAUUGACUGACUGUCAUCUUUCAAUUAUGAAUCACUUGUGGAACAAAGUUUCAUUAGCUGCUUGCUCCUGUUUUCCACCUUCCAAAAAUAAAUACAUAAAUAAUUUUUUUGUAACCUUCA